RNAcentral lists this ribosomal RNA (774 nucleotides) under uncultured Neocallimastigales. RNAcentral's name for it is "partial large subunit ribosomal RNA". It matches the Rfam family "Eukaryotic large subunit ribosomal RNA", at positions 24 to 611 of the family's 3401-position model. Lineage: Eukaryota; Fungi; Neocallimastigomycota; Neocallimastigomycetes; Neocallimastigales. The record is from RNAcentral.
UACGACUACAUAUCAGGCAUAUCAAUAAGCGGAGGAAAAGAAACUAACAAGGAUUCCCUUAGUAACGGCGAGUGAAGCGGGAAGAGCUCAAAUUUGAAAUCUUCAAGGUUUUACCUUGACGAAUUGUAGUUUAAAGAAGUGUUUUCUGUUGGAGUUUUGGUAAAAGUUCUUUGGAAUAGGACAUCAUAGAGGGUGAGAAUCCCGUAUUUGACCAUUAUUUCCAGCUUUGUGAUACACUUUCAAAGAGUCGGAUUGUUUGGGAAUGCAGUCCAAAAUGGGUGGUAAAUUUCAUCUAAAGCUAAAUAUUGGCGAGAGACCGAUAGCGAACAAGUACCGUGAGGGAAAGAUGAAAAGAACUUUGAAAAGAGAGUUAAACAGUACGUGAAAUUGUCAAAAGGGAAGCGUUUGACACCAGUGUUGUUUAGUUGAAAAUCAAUUAAAUAAUUUUUGAUUUUAAGUAGUAUUGACUUCAUCAGCUUGCUGCUUUCUUUACGAAACUUUCUUAAUGCACUUUUCGGUUAACAAGUCAACAUCAAUUUCUUUUGUUGUAAAAGGGUACGAGGAAGGUGGCUUUCUUUUCGGAGAAAGUGUUUAUAGCCUUGUACCUCUGCAAUCGGAGAGAUUGAGGUCUGCAGCGUAGAUCCUUCGGGGUUAGAUACAUUUGUGCUAAGUUAUAGCUUUUCAUAGACAACUUGUUGACUAUGUUUAGUCUUGUAGCUUACUCGCUUAUGCUAUUUUACCUACGCUUAGGAUGUUGAACGCGCACAGAGUCUC